Molecule: ribosomal RNA, 497 nt
Filed under: uncultured bacterium
Lineage: Bacteria
Description: partial 16S ribosomal RNA
Rfam family: Bacterial small subunit ribosomal RNA
Source: RNAcentral
GACGAACGCUGGCGGCGUGCCUAAUACAUGCAAGUAGAACGCUGAAGAGAGGAGCUUGCUCUUCUUGGAUGAGUUGCGAACGGGUGAGUAACGCGUAGGUAACCUGCCUUGUAGCGGGGGAUAACUAUUGGAAACGAUAGCUAAUACCGCAUAACAAUGGAUGACACAUGUCAUUUAUUUGAAAGGGGCAAUUGCUCCACUACAACAUGGACCUGCGUUGUAUUAGCUAGUAGGUGAGGUAAUGGCUCACCUAGGCGACGAUACAUAGCCGACCUGAGAGGGUGAUCGGCCACACUGGGACUGAGACACGGCCCAGACUCCUACGGGAGGCAGCAGUAGGGAAUCGUCGGCAAUGGGGGCAAACCUGACCGAGCAACGCCGCGUGAGUGAAGAAGGUUUUCGGAUCGUAAAGCUCUGUUGUAAGUCAAGAACGGGUGUGAGAGUGGAAAGUUCACACUGUGACGGUAGCUUACCAGAAAGGAACGGCUAACUACGUG